Molecule: long non-coding RNA, 4484 nt
Filed under: Sus scrofa (pig)
Lineage: Eukaryota; Metazoa; Chordata; Mammalia; Artiodactyla; Suidae
Description: lncRNA (ENSSSCG00040071502.1)
Source: RNAcentral
GAGGUUCCCAGGCUAGGGGUCUAAUCAGAGCUGUAGCUGCAGGCCUAUGCCACAGCAACGCCAGAUCUGAGCUGCAUCUACAACCUACACCGCAGCUCAUGGCAAGGCCAGAUCCUUAACCCACUGAGCAAGGCCAGGGAUCGAACCUGCAACCUCAUGGUUCCUAGUCGGAUUUGUUUCUGCUGUGCCAUGACAGGAACUCCAAUUCGUGCCAUAUUUUAGACCCCACAUAUAAGUGAUAUAUGGCCUUUGUCUUUCUCUUUCCAACUUACUUCCCUUAGUAUGAGAAUCUCUAGUUCUAUCCAUCCAUAGAUAAUCUGGCCUCUCUCUAACUCUCCAGCCUCACCUCACUAGUUGUCAUUCAUCCAUUUAUUCUAUAACUCAUUGAUCAUUUCAUUCAUUUAGCCAUUACAGGUUGAGCAUGGCUGUGGGAUCUGAGUAACAUCACCCAGGCUAAAAUUACUAUCUUCUUGUAAUUUAUAUUCUCUCACUACCCACAAGUGAUCUGGCAAUGAGGAACAAAUAAAAAACAAGAUUAAAAAGGAAAAUUAUAAUACAUUAAAUGUUGAUAAAGGCAAACGGUAUGUGUAUGGAAGAGGGCAGUGAAUGGAGACUUCACUGAGAAGCUGACAUUUGAGUACAGACUCGCUGAAGAGGGAGAAAACUAUGUAGGUGUCUAAAGUCUUUCAAACUAUACUCUACUGUUCCUCUCUUAAGGGUAUUUCAGAUAUUAUAACCAUCACUGAGAUUCCUGAAAAGAUUAUUUUUAAACUCUUUUUAUCUAUAAAAAACAUUAUAUACAGAAAAGUAUGGAAUCUUAAGUAAAAAGACUAAUGCAUUAUCACAAUGAAUGCACCUGUACAAUUACCCAAACCAAGAAGCAGAACAUUUCCGGAACCCGAAAGUCAUCAUCUUGCCACUUCCCAAUUAACUAUUCCCUAUUCUCCCAAAGAUAAAUCCUAUCCUGACUUCUAAUUAUAGACUAGUUUUUACUGAUCCUGGACUUUAUAUUCAUGAAAACAUAAAACAUAUUAUUUUGAAUCCAUGUCUUUCAUUCAACAUUCUAUUGCUUGAAGUUCAUUCAUUUGCAUUACCAUAGAGGUUUUCAUUGCAGUAAUAUACAACAAUUUAUGCAUGCAUUCUAGUGCUGAUAGACAUCUGGGUUGCUCCAAUUUUUACCUAUUACAAAUAAUACUGCUAUGAAUAUUCCUGUAUAUAUCUCUGGUGCACAAACAUACAUUUGGGGAAGGGUAUACAUAUAGCUGUGAGUCACACAGUGUUCAUACACCGAGCUUAAAUAGAUGCUGCCAAACUUUUCCUAGUAGUUGUGCCAGUUUACACUGAUACCAGCAGUGUAUUAGUUUUGACAGAUCCAAUUCUUAAGUGGCAGGUUCAUUUUGAAAAUAUUUUUUACAAAUUGGUCACACAUUUUUAUUUAAUAAAUUCUUUUAAAAUCAAAUAUUUUGCUAAUCUUUCUUUUCCAAGAAAGAAAGUCCCAGAGGUUUACUACUAGGGAAGUUAACUUCUUUAUGUACUAGCAAUGCCCAUAAUAAACAACAAAGUGACACCUAUAUCCAUCUGUGUAUUCUAAAUGUAUCUUAUACCUCCAAUUUUCUAUUAUUCAAAAUUAUAAUUUUUUCUCUUCUUACAUCCCUUUGUAAGAAAAUGUUUCUGUGAUUCUGGAGUGACUAACAUCGUCCAUCCCCAAAUCUAGAAAAGAUUUAAUGGGUUAGUCACUUAUUCCUCUAGGAAACUACUCUCCUGCUGCUAAAGGUAAUGAUCUAUGCACAAUACAACAACUCUAGGGAAAAAAAAACAGAUAGAUAAAACAAACCAGGAUAUAUCAGCAUGAUUGCCAACUAUAUUUAAUACUUUUAUUUUUUAUUCUCCAUGACAAACCAUUAGAAUAACUAAUUUUAUCCACAAAUGUCAGGGGGCAAAAAAAACAAUCUCAAUCAUAAGAGUUUUGAAAUUAUUCCAUUUUCUAAGAAACAAGUCUUUUCAUCAAGCUUUGGUAUAUUGUUAACAUUUUUACAGUAGCACUGUGAUAACAAGCACUGAAUUAUCUAAAACAGUUCUUCUUAAAGGCAAACCAAUUCAGAAAUUUUUAACAACUAGGUAGCCAAGCUGAUAAAUCUAUAGAGAGAUGAGAUUCAAAGAUGUUAUCAGUAUUCAGAAAGCAAAUCAAAUAUAUUAUUUCAAUAUUUCUAGAAAAUAUAAGAAGCCACAUAAAAUAGCAAUGUUAACAACAAAUAAAAUAAUGAUAAGCAUUUGUUGUGCUUGGUGUCAUUCAUCUAAAAUUUCACCAAGCACAUAUUAUGUGCAAGCCCAAAAAUGUCCACUGAGCUCAUACUUUGUUGAAAUAUUUUAAAAGUAUCAUGAACUUGAAAGGUCAUCUGAUUUCCACAAUUUAGUUCUUAAAUUUUAUUUAACAAAUAAUUUUACAUUGUGUUUAUUAUGUGCUAAGCACUGCACUAAUUGCUUUGCAAAUAUUAGCUCAAUUCUUAAAAUAAUUGCAGAUAUAUAGUCAGAAUUUGAACUCAGCCAGUAGUCUAACUCUAGUCCAUGCGCCUAACUACUCAAAUAAAUGGGAACACCUAUAAAAAUAAAGCCAAAAUAAAUAGUCUCUUUUUUCUUUUUUAAUAAAUCUGAGCUAUACUUGACUUUUUGAUUAUUUACUUAAGGUGAGAAAAAUAUACAUGAAGACUCAAAGGCUAGAAGUACAGUUCUUUGAUAUGUACAUAUUCAGCGUGUUUAAAAGAGUUAUGUCAUUAAGUAUGUCAAUUUUAUAAAUAUAUUAAGAGAGAAUUAAAAAAGAGAAUAUAUGAAAAUACACCCAUAUUUGGACAAUAUGAAGCUUCUUUUAAAUAGUUUAGAAGUACAAAACCCAGAGAGAAUAAAAAUAGCUUUAACUUGUUCUCUAAUUAUUCUUUAAUCAAGGAUGCAAUUUGAAUCAAGUUUUUAUCUGGCCAUUUAUCUAGUGGAUUCUAAGCAUACUAUCUGAGAAUACCAACAGGCAGUUUCACCACAUUCCUCAGGAGGGAAAGAGGAAAUAAAAGAACUAUAAGGUCACUCAAUCAGUUUCCUGCUCAGGCAUCUUACUUUCCCUAUAUUUCCCAGGGCUUUGCAGAGUUACAACAGAAUUAGCCCUCUCUAGAAUGAACCCUCUCUUCUCAGUAUAUAGAACAUUUCUGGCAAAAAUGAAAAUAUUUUGACAUUUUUGUGUGUUUUGGUUUUUAAAUUGAGAGAUAACUGACAUAUAAUAUUGUCUUCAUGGUAGGUGUACAACAUAAUGAUUCAAUAUAUGUAUGUAUUACGAAAUGAUUAUCACAUGUUUAGUUAACAUCCAUUGCCCCACAGUUGCAAUUCUUUUGCUUGUGAUGAGAACUUUUAAGAUUUACUCUCUUAGCAACUUUCAAAUAUAAAGUACAGUAUUGUUAAUUAUACUCAACAUGCUAUACAGUAUAUCCCUGAAGUUUACUUUUUUAAAGGAAAGAUUUACCUACAUGAAGCAAAAGAAAGAAAUCUUUGCUUUCCUUGUCUGAUUAGAUUUCCACUCAUAAUGGCCCUGCUUCCUCUGACCAGUUUCUCUCUUAACAUAGGGAGAUGUAAAUCAAACAUCCAGAUCAUCACAUAUGACCAGACAACCCAAAGAAUGUCUGGGGGGUGGAGUUCUACAGCUAUACAAGGUACUUCACUUCCAGUUCUCUCUACUCCAUUCCAGUUUCUUAAAAGUUGUAAGAGUAGUGACUACAAGAGAAGUAAUAUUGGUACCAGAGUAUAUUUUGUACAUAUUCAAAAAUGUUUCUUUCUCCAGCAAGACAACAGCAUCUGAAAUUUCCAGUAGAUUAAGUUCUUGAGUUCUUGAGUAUCUAGAUAACACCACAAAAAUGAUGUAACGAUAAUGCCUUUCAUAUCUAUAACACUACACAUUUAAUCCUAGAAAUAAACCUACAUUUCUACCAUUCCUUAUAAGAAAAAAUGAGACUCAGAGAAGCCACUAUACAUGGCCAAGAUCAUACAGCUUGACUGUGCUAACUCUCAAAUCCUCAAAUAAGUCUAGUAUAUGUAUACUGUCUCAGCUCCCAAGUAGGCUGAAUGGAAAAAAAUAGAUGAUUGUCUAUCAACUUAAAAUAAUAGAUUAAUUUCUCAGAAAACAACAUACGACAGAACUUUAAGGGAAGAGGAGACAAUAAGUGCAUUUUAAAUGUAAAGAAAGCUGAUCUUUGGGAGAAAAGUAGCUUGAUGCCCUGCCCACAGUUAGAAAAGGCUCUGAGAGACAUCACUGAUGAGGUAUAGUCUGGGCAGUCAAUGAAGGGACAAGCCCAGGAGAGGCACAUUAUAUAGAUAAGUAGCUUUCACAGCUUAAACUAGGCCUGUACUGGUAGUUUUAUCACCUGUAGUAUAAGCUUAGUUGGUACUUUUACUUUCUACCAAGCAGAGGAGCUUGUUUCUUUUCCUUCACAACAUACCAAAAAAAAAAA